GGUCAUUGGCUCCGAACUUCUGUUCUGCUCGUCUCACUCUCCUUCCCUGCUCCAGCCAGUCAGUCACCAGUUCUGCUGCUUGCAUCCUCGGGCCCCUCACACUGAUGCACUGUUCGUGCUCCAGACUGUGACACCGCUCCUGAGCCUCACCUGCUCCCCCAGACAUUAGUUUGGCUUCAGUGCAGAGUGGACGAUCAAGCUGGCCAGGGAUCGAACUCAAGACCUUGCGCUUGUGAUGCAGGCGGCAGAACUGAGCCACAUCCCCGACUCCCACUGGAUUUGCACUGCACCUCAAAGAGACACUCACAGAAGAGGGCUGCAGAGCUGCUGCAGGGAGGCAGACCCGCUGAGGAUCAGAGGCAGCGGGAGGGAAAAGAGGGAAAGAGAAGCGAAAUGAUGAAGACGCGGUCCAUGUGUGUGCCGGCUCUGCACCGCAGAGGAAUUCGCUGUGCGCCACGAAUGUGUAGGGCGAAGAAUAUGGCAAGAAUUCUACGGCAGCAUUUGGAAGGUAUUAAUGACUACAUGUGCUUCAUUUUGAUAAAUGUUAUAAUCUUCAGCGGGAGAGGCCUCCCUAAUACAGUGGAGCAGGGCGGAGUUCACACUGCAUUUCUGCUACCAGCGAGGGCACAGCUGUGCAGCAUCCGCUCAGCCCUGGCAGCUGUGGUUCACGUGAAACCUCCUGAAGCCAAGACCCAGAGCACAAUCAGUACGGAAGCAGAUGCGUCACUGCUGGCCGCGUGGGGAGCUGGGCUCACCCGACCACGGACCCUCCGGUCUGAGAUCUCUGGUGUUCCGCUCCUCCUGGGCUACAGAUUCCUCAAGGGGCGCUGGGGGCUGCCAGGCGCUGUUCCUGCUGUGCACCGCUCUGUGUAUUUUCCUGAGCGGCUGGGGACGAAAGGACAAAGGUGUGUCCUACGCUGCCGUCUUGGUAGCAUCUGAUGGAUGGACCAGAGAAGCUGAUGGAGGAGCGGAGAGGAGCGGGUUGUUCGGAAACAACACGGUGUAGAGGAGGACGAAACAGAACAGAGGGCAGAGGUGGCAGGAAGAUCUCCUAACCAAAAGGAGAAAUUGCUAAGGAUGAAAGCAUUUCUGCAUUGCCUGUUGGAUGAUAAGAAAGUUGAGGAUGAUCAACAAGGCAAUAAGAGAGAUGGAAGGAUGCUAAGGAGCGGAGAAUAAAACAAGUAUGAAAAAGCCAGAAGAGAAGUACAAGUUCUUCCUUAUGAUCCCAAGUAUUUGUUAUUUUUAAAAUGUAUGUUAUUUGCCACCAACUACAGUCUGAGAGAAAAAACGAAAAAUACAACUGGGUAUAAUAAAAACACUUGAAAUUCACUGCUUCUUGAAGCCCUUGCCACAAAUCUUUAAAUAUAGUGUGCCACCAUUUUUAACUUUGUUUUAACCACAGUUAUAACAGAUGAAUACAGUUAUAAAUUCCAAAGAAAUUUUGCCAAGGUGA
Molecule: long non-coding RNA, 1453 nt
Filed under: Fukomys damarensis (Damara mole-rat)
Lineage: Eukaryota; Metazoa; Chordata; Mammalia; Rodentia; Bathyergidae
Description: lncRNA (ENSFDAG00000024399.1)
Source: RNAcentral